GACGAACGCUGGCGGCGUGCUUAACACAUGCAAGUCGAACGGUAAGGCCCUUCGGGGUACACGAGUGGCGAACGGGUGAGUAACACGUGGGUGAUCUGCCCUGCACUCCGGGAUAAGCCUGGGAAACUGGGUCUAAUACCGGAUAGGACUCCUGGCUUCAUGGUUGGGGGUGGAAAGCUUUUGCGGUGUGGGAUGGGCCCGCGGCCUAUCAGCUUGUUGGUGGGGUAAUGGCCUACCAAGGCGACGACGGGUAGCCGGCCUGUGAGGGUGACCGGUCACACUGGGACUGAGAUACGGCCCAGACUCCUACGGGAGGCAGCAGUGGGGAAUAUUGCACAAUGGGCGCAAGCCUGAUGCAGCGACGCCGCGUGAGGGAUGACGGCCUUCGGGUUGUAAACCUCUUUCAGCUAUGACGAAGCGCAAGUGACGGUAGUAGCAGAAGAAGGACCGGCCAACUACGUGCCAGCCGCCGCAGUAA
This 478-nucleotide ribosomal RNA is filed under the name uncultured bacterium. RNAcentral's name for it is "partial 16S ribosomal RNA". It matches the Rfam family "Bacterial small subunit ribosomal RNA", at positions 28 to 523 of the family's 1533-position model. The record is from RNAcentral.